UACGUAGGUGGCGAGCGUUGUCCGGAUUUACUGGGCGUAAAGAGCGCGCAGGCGGUCGUUCAAGUCGCGUGUGAAAGCCCCCGGCUCAACUGGGGAGGGUCACGCGAUACUGAUCGACUCGAAGGCAGGAGAGGGUAGUGGAAUUCCCGGUGUAGUGGUGAAAUGCGUUGAUAUCAAGUGGAACACCAGUGGCGAAGGCGAGUCUCUGGACAUUUCCUGACGCUGAGGCACGAAAGCCAGGGGAGCAAACGGG
RNAcentral lists this ribosomal RNA (253 nucleotides) under uncultured bacterium. RNAcentral describes it as "partial 16S ribosomal RNA". It matches the Rfam family "Bacterial small subunit ribosomal RNA", at positions 524 to 776 of the family's 1533-position model. The record is from RNAcentral.